AAAAAUUUUUUUUUUUUUCUGCUCAGGACGAACGCUGGCGGCGUGCGUAAUACAUGCAAGUCGAACGCACUGACGUCGACCGAAGCUGCUUGCAGUGGACGUUGAUUGACGUGAGUGGCGGACGGGUGAGUAACACGUGGGUAACCUACCCUUAAGUGGGGGAUAACAUUUGGAAACAGAUGCUAAUACCGCAUAACCAUUCAGACCACAUGGUCUGAAUGUAAAAGACGGCCUUUGGCUGUCACUUUUGGACGGACCCGCGGCGUAUUAGUUAGUUGGUAAGGUAACGGCUUACCAAGACAAUGAUACGUAGCCGACCUGAGAGGGUAAUCGGCCACAUUGGGACUGAGACACGGCCCAAACUCCUACGGGAGGCAGCAGUAGGGAAUCUUCCACAAUGGACGAAAGUCUGAUGGAGCAACGCCGCGUGAGUGAAGAAGGUUUUAGGAUCGUAAAACUCUGUUGUUGGAGAAGAACAGGGACUAGAGUAACUGUUAGUCCUUUGACGGUAUCCAACCAGAAAGCCACGGCUAACUACGUGCCAGCAGCCGCGGUAAUACGUAGGUGGCAAGCGUUGUCCGGAUUUAUUGGGCGUAAAGCGAGCGCAGGCGGUUUUUUAAGUCUGAUGUGAAAGCCUUCGGCUUAACCGAAGAAGUGCAUUAGAAACUGGGAAACUUGAGUGCAGAAGAGGACAGUGGAACUCCAUGUGUAGCGGUGAAAUGCGUAGAUAUAUGGAAGAACACCAGUGGCGAAGGCGGCUGUCUGGUCUGUAACUGACGCUGAGGCUCGAAAGUAUGGGGAGCGAACAGGAUUAGAUACCCUGGUAGUCCAUACCGUAAACGAUGAAUGCUAAGUGUUGGAGGGUUUCCGCCCUUCAGUGCUGCAGCUAACGCAUAAGCAUCCCGCCCGG
Molecule: ribosomal RNA, 910 nt
Filed under: Loigolactobacillus coryniformis
Lineage: Bacteria; Bacillati; Bacillota; Bacilli; Lactobacillales; Lactobacillaceae
Description: bacterial SSU rRNA
Rfam family: Bacterial small subunit ribosomal RNA
Source: RNAcentral